Unclassified non-coding RNA from Callithrix jacchus (white-tufted-ear marmoset), 148 nucleotides. It matches the Rfam family "Metazoan signal recognition particle RNA". Rfam says of the family: The signal recognition particle (SRP) is a universally conserved ribonucleoprotein. It is involved in the co-translational targeting of proteins to membranes. The record is from Ensembl. NCBI's taxonomy places the organism in Eukaryota, Metazoa, Chordata, Mammalia, Primates, Cebidae.
GCUGGGCGUGGUGGUGCGUGCCUGUGAUCCCAGCUACUUGGGAGGCUGAGGCAGAAGAAUCACUUGAACCCAGGAGGUGGAGGUUGCAGCGAGCUAAGUUCAUGCCACUGCACUCCAGCCUGAGCAACAGAGUGAGACUCUGCCUCAA